CUUAAUCCCUAUGUAGUGCACUAGUUUUGACCAGUAUUGGACCCUUAAUCCCUAUGUAGUGCACUAGUUCUGACCAGUAUGUCACCCUAAUCCCUAUGUAGUGCACUAGUUUUGACCAGUAUGGCACCCUUAAUUAAUCCCUAUGUAGUGCACUGGUUUUGACCAGUAUUGGACCCGUAAUCCCUAUGUAGUGCACUAGUUUUGACCAGUAUUGAACCCUUAAUCCCUAUGUAGUGCACUAGUUUUGACCAGUAUGGCACCCUAAUCCCUAUGUAGUGCACUAGUUUUGACCAGUAUUGGACCCUUAAUCCCUAUGUAGUUCACUAGUUCUGACCAGUAUGGUACCCUAAUCCCUAUGUAGUGCAGUAGUUCUGACCAGUAUGGCACCCUAAUCCCUAUGUAGUGCACUAGUUUUGACCAGUAUUGGACCCUAAUCCCUAUGUAGUGCACUAGUUUUGACCAGUAUGGCACCCUUAAUUAAUCCCUAUGUAGUGCAGUAGUUUUGACCAGUAUGGCACCCUAAUCCCUAUGUAGUGCACUAGUUUUGACCAGUAUUGGACCCUAAUCCCUAUGUAGUGCACUAGUUUUGACCAGUAUGGCACCCUUAAUUAAUCCCUAUGUAGUGCACUAGUUUUGACCAGUAUUGGACCCUUAAUCCCUAUGUAGUUCACUAGUUCUGACCAUAUUGGAGCCUUAAUCCCUAUGUAGUGCAGUAGUUCUGACCAGUAUGGCACCCUAAUCCCUAUGUAGUGCACUAGUUUUGACCAGUAUUGGAGCCUUAAUCCCUAUGUAGUGCACUAGUUCUGACCAGUAUUGGAGCCUUAAUCCCUAUGUAGUGCACUAGUUUUGACCAGUAUGGCACCCUAAUCCCUAUGUAGUGCACUAGUUUUGACCAGUAUUGAACCCUUAAUCCCUAUGUAGUUCACUAGUUUUGACCAGUAUUGGAGCCUUAAUCCCUAUGUAGUGCAGUAGUUUUGACCAGUAUUGAACCCUUAAUCCCUAUGUAGUGCACUAGUUUUGACCAGUAUUGGACCCUUAAUCCCUAUGUAGUGCACUAGUUUUGACCAGUAUGGCACCCUUAAUUAAUCCCUAUGUAGUGCACUAGUUUUGACCAGUAUUGGACCCUUAAUCCCUAUGUAGUUCACUAGUUUUGACCAGUAUUGGAGCCUUAAUCCCUAUGUAGUGCAGUAGUUCUGACCAGUAUGGCACCCUAAUCCCUAUGUAGUGCACUAGUUUUGACCAGUAUUAAACCCUUAAUCCCUAUGUAGUGCAGUAGUUUUGACCAGUAUUGGAGCCUUAAUCCCUAUGUAGUGCACUAGUUUUGACCAGUAUUGAACCCUUAAUCCCUAUGUAGUGCACUAGUUUUGACCAGUAUUGGAGCCUUAAUCCCUAUGUAGUGCACUAGUUUUGACCAGUAUUGAACCCUUAAUCCCUAUGUAGUUCACUAGUUUUGACCAGUAUUGGAGCCUUAAUCCCUAUGUAGUGCAGUAGUUCUGACCAGUAUGGCACCCUACUCCCUAUGUAGUGCACUAGUUCAGAAUAAACCCCUAUGGUAGCUGGUCAAAGCUAGUGCACUGUAGAGGGUGCCAUUUCAGACACAGACGUCAUGUUCAGGUUGUUUUCAGGUUACUGUUUUAUUUAUUGUUAUUGAACCUUUAUUUAUUUAACUGGGCAA
RNAcentral lists this long non-coding RNA (1675 nucleotides) under Salmo salar (Atlantic salmon). Its description in RNAcentral is "lncRNA (ENSSSAG00000096628.1)". Lineage: Eukaryota; Metazoa; Chordata; Actinopteri; Salmoniformes; Salmonidae. The record is from RNAcentral.